RNAcentral lists this ribosomal RNA (253 nucleotides) under uncultured bacterium. RNAcentral describes it as "partial 16S ribosomal RNA". It matches the Rfam family "Bacterial small subunit ribosomal RNA", at positions 524 to 776 of the family's 1533-position model. The record is from RNAcentral.
UACGUAGGGCGCAAGCGUUGUCCGGAAUUAUUGGGCGUAAAGAGCUCGUAGGCGGUUUGUCGCGUCUGCUGUGGAAACCUGAGGCUCAACCUCGGGCUUGCAGUGGGUACGGGCAGACUAGAGUGCGGUAGGGGUGACUGGAAUUCCUGGUGUAGCGGUGGAAUGCGCAGAUAUCAGGAGGAACGCCGAUGGCGAAGGCAGGUCGGUGGGCCGCAACUGACGCUGAGGUGCGAAAGCGUGGGGAGCAAACAGG